Molecule: small nuclear RNA, 164 nt
Filed under: Dendronephthya gigantea
Lineage: Eukaryota; Metazoa; Cnidaria; Anthozoa; Malacalcyonacea; Nephtheidae
Description: U1 spliceosomal RNA
Rfam family: U1 spliceosomal RNA
About the family: U1 is a small nuclear RNA (snRNA) component of the spliceosome (involved in pre-mRNA splicing).
Source: RNAcentral
AUACUUACCUGACGCGAGAGGCACCUUGAUCAACUAGGAGGUCCUCUCAGGAUGAGGCCCUUUCAUUGCACUUCGACUGGGUUGACUCCUGCGAUUACCCCUAAUGUGGGUAACUCAAGCGUAUAAUUUCUGGUAGUGGGGACCUGCGUUCGCGCUCGUCCCUU